UAGGGAAUAUUAGAAAUGGACGAAAGUCUGAUCUAGCAACACCGCGUGUGCGAUGAAGGCCUUCGGGUCGUAAAGCACUUUUUGGAAGGAAUAGGAAGGAAUGUACUUCCAGAAUAAGUCUCGGCUAACUACGUGCCAGCAGCCGCGGUAACACGUAGGAGGCAAACGUUAUCCGGAUUUACUGGGCGUAAAGCGCGUGUAGGUGGUACUGUAAGUAGGGCGUGAAAGCUCCUGGCUCAACUGGGAGAGGCCGUGCUAAACUACAGA
This 267-nucleotide ribosomal RNA is filed under the name uncultured bacterium. RNAcentral's name for it is "partial 16S ribosomal RNA". It matches the Rfam family "Bacterial small subunit ribosomal RNA", at positions 355 to 639 of the family's 1533-position model. The record is from RNAcentral.